GAUGAACGCUGGCGGCGUGCCUAAUACAUGCAAGUCGAGCGAACAGACGAGGAGCUUGCUCCUCUGACGUUAGCGGCGGACGGGUGAGUAACACGUGGAUAACCUACCUAUAAGACUGGGAUAACUUCGGGAAACCGGAGCUAAUACCGGAUAAUAUAUUGAACCGCAUGGUUCAAUAGUGAAAGACGGUUUUGCUGUCACUUAUAGAUGGAUCCGCGCCGCAUUAGCUAGUUGGUAAGGUAACGGCUUACCAAGGCAACGAUGCGUAGCCGACCUGAGAGGGUGAUCGGCCACACUGGAACUGAGACACGGUCCAGACUCCUACGGGAGGCAGCAGUAGGGAAUCUUCGGCAAUGGGCGAAAGCCUGACGGAGCAACGCCGCGUGAGUGAUGAAGGUCUUCGGAUCGUAAAACUCUGUUAGUAGGGAAGAACAAAUGUGUAAGUAACUAUGCACGUCUUGACGGUACCUAAUCAGAAAGCCACGGCUAACUACGUG
This 497-nucleotide ribosomal RNA is filed under the name uncultured bacterium. Its description in RNAcentral is "partial 16S ribosomal RNA". It matches the Rfam family "Bacterial small subunit ribosomal RNA", at positions 28 to 507 of the family's 1533-position model. The record is from RNAcentral.